This 72-nucleotide transfer RNA is filed under the name Fissurella volcano. RNAcentral's name for it is "tRNA-Trp". It matches the Rfam family "tRNA". From Rfam's summary of the family: Transfer RNA (tRNA) molecules are approximately 80 nucleotides in length. Their secondary structure includes four short double-helical elements and three loops (D, anti-codon, and T loops). Further hydrogen bonds mediate the characteristic L-shaped molecular structure. tRNAs have two regions of fundamental functional importance: the anti-codon, which is responsible for specific mRNA codon recognition, and the 3' end, to which the tRNAs corresponding amino acid is attached (by aminoacyl-tRNA synthetases). tRNAs cope with the degeneracy of the genetic code in two manners: having more than one tRNA (with a specific anti-codon) for a particular amino acid; and 'wobble' base-pairing, i.e. permitting non-standard base-pairing at the 3rd anti-codon position. The record is from RNAcentral. Lineage: Eukaryota; Metazoa; Mollusca; Gastropoda; Lepetellida; Fissurellidae.
AGAACUUUAGGUUAAGGAUAAAUCAAAAGUCUUCAAAACUUUAGAUGGGAGGUUUUAAUAUCCCAAGUUCUG